AGACAGAGGUGGCGAGCGUUGUUCGGAAUUACUGGGCUUAAAGGGCGCGUAGGCGGUGGAGUAAGUCUGGGGUGGAAUUCUGCAGCUCAACUGUGGGACUGCCUUGGAAACUACUUUACUUGAGUCGGACAGGGGAAGGCGGAAUUCCUGGUGUAGCGGUGAAAUGCGUAGAUAUCAGGAGGAAGGCCUGUGGUGAAGACGACCUUCUGGGUCUUGAUUGACGCUGAGGCGCGAAAGCGUGGGGAGCAAACAGGAUUAGAUACCCUGGUAGUCCACGCCCUAAACGGUGGGUACUAGGUGUGGGGUCUGUAAGGGCUCUGUGCCGAAGGGAAACCAUUAAGUACCCCGCCUGGGAAGUACGGCCGCAAGGUUGAA
This 375-nucleotide ribosomal RNA is filed under the name uncultured bacterium. RNAcentral's name for it is "bacterial SSU rRNA". It matches the Rfam family "Bacterial small subunit ribosomal RNA", at positions 523 to 898 of the family's 1533-position model. The record is from RNAcentral.